UGAUGCCACACGCCGCGUGAUUGAGACGGCCUUCGGGUUGUAAACCUCUUUUAGUAGGGAAGAAGCGAAAGUGACGGUACCUGCAGAAAAAGCACCGGCUAACUACGUGCCAGCAGCCGCGGUAAUACGUAGGGUGCAAGCGUUGUCCGGAAUUAUUGGGCGUAAAGAGCUCGUACGCGGCUUGUCGCGUCUGCUGUGAAAACCCGAGGCUCAACCUCGGGCCUGCAGUGGGUACCGGCAGGCUACAGUGCGGUAGGGGAGAUUGGAAUUCCUGGUGUAGCGGUGGAAUGCGCAGAUAUCAGGAGGAACACCGAUGGCGAAGGCAGAUCUCUGGGCCGUAACUGACGCUGAUGAGCCAAAGCUUGGGGAGCGAACAGGAUUAGAUACCCUGGUAGUCCAUGCCAUAAACGUUGGGAACUAGAUGUAGGGUCCAUUCCACGGAUUCUGUGUCGUAGCUAACGCAUUAAGUUCCCCGCCUGGGGAGUACGGCCGCAAGGCUAAAACU
RNAcentral lists this ribosomal RNA (505 nucleotides) under uncultured bacterium. RNAcentral's name for it is "bacterial SSU rRNA". It matches the Rfam family "Bacterial small subunit ribosomal RNA", at positions 384 to 901 of the family's 1533-position model. The record is from RNAcentral.